This 426-nucleotide ribosomal RNA is filed under the name uncultured bacterium. RNAcentral describes it as "bacterial SSU rRNA". It matches the Rfam family "Bacterial small subunit ribosomal RNA", at positions 354 to 796 of the family's 1533-position model. The record is from RNAcentral.
GUGAGGAAUUUUCCGCAAUGGGCGAAAGCCUGACGGAGCAAUUCCGCGUGAAGGAUGAUGGCCUAUGGGUUGUAAACUUCUUUUCUCAGAAAAGAAUUAUGACGGUAUCUGAGGAAUAAGCAUCGGCUAACUCUGUGCCAGCAGCCGCGGUAAGACAGAGGAUGCAAGCGUUAUCCGGAAUGAUUGGGCGUAAAGCGUCUGUAGGUUGUUUAAAAAGUAUUCUGUCAAAGAUUAGGGCUUAACCCUAGAUAGGCAGAAUAAACUUUUAAGCUAGAGUGUGGUAGAGGCAGAGGGAAUUCCCGGGGGAGCGGUGCAAUGCGUAGAUAUCGGGAGGAACACCAAAGGCGAAGGCACUCUGCUGGGCCAAUACUAACACUGAGAGACGAAAGCGAGGGGAGCAAAUGGGAUUAGAUACCCGGGUAGUCC